GUCCACGCCGUAACGAUGCGCACUAGGUUUGCUAGUCUCUGACGGCUAGCGAGCCGAAACAAAGCGUUAAGUGCGCCGCCUGGGGAGUACGGCCGCAAGGCUAAACUCAAAGGAAUUGACGGGGCUCACACAAGCGGUGGAGGAUGUGGCUCAAUUCGAAGCAACGCGAAGAACCUUACCCGGGUUAGACAUGCCAGGAUUAGUUUUGUGAAAGCAAAAUGACGCGGCUUGCCGUGGAACUGGCUCAGGUGCUGCAUGGCUGUCGU
Molecule: ribosomal RNA, 266 nt
Filed under: uncultured bacterium
Lineage: Bacteria
Description: partial 16S ribosomal RNA
Rfam family: Bacterial small subunit ribosomal RNA
Source: RNAcentral